UCGGAUGUGGUGCAUGGUGCACUGGCUUGAAAUCUGGCAAUCUACGCAAAGAAAUAUCAGGGCAGGUCGGGGUUCGAUUCCCCGCAUCCGAA
Non-coding RNA from Mycena leptocephala, 92 nucleotides. The record is from the annotation of a GenBank genome assembly. NCBI's taxonomy places the organism in Eukaryota, Fungi, Basidiomycota, Agaricomycetes, Agaricales, Mycenaceae.